Molecule: ribosomal RNA, 236 nt
Filed under: uncultured bacterium
Lineage: Bacteria
Description: partial 16S ribosomal RNA
Rfam family: Bacterial small subunit ribosomal RNA
Source: RNAcentral
UACAGGGGGUGCAAACGUUGCUCGGAAUUAUUGGGCGUAAAGCGCGCGUAGGCGGCUACUUAAGUCGGAUGUGAAAGCCCUUGGCUCAACUGAGGAAGUGCACCCGAAACUGAGUGGCUUGAGUACGAAAGAGGGUCGCGGAAUUCCCGGUGUAGAGGUGAAAUUCGUAGAUAUCGGGAGGAACACCGGUGGCGAAGGCGGCGACCUGGGUCGGAUACUGACGCUGAGGCGCGAAA